RNAcentral lists this long non-coding RNA (4689 nucleotides) under Solanum tuberosum (potato). Its description in RNAcentral is "long non-coding RNA (STUB_LNC007817)". Lineage: Eukaryota; Viridiplantae; Streptophyta; Magnoliopsida; Solanales; Solanaceae. The record is from RNAcentral.
AUUACUUGGAGGAAUAUCACAAGGUUUAGGACUUGAAGAAUGUUAUUUGGAAAAAACUCUAGAGAUGAAGCCAGGAUUUCAAUUUUUUUUUGCAAAUUAUUACCCAUGUUGUCCUCAGCCAGAACUUGCACUUGGUAUGCCACCUCAUUCAGAUCAUGGCCUUUUAACUCUAAUUAUUCAAAACCAAGUUGGAGGAUUACAAGUUCAACAUCAAGGCAAGUGGAUUCAUGUCAAUGCCCUUCCCAACUCACUCUUGGUCAAUAUCGACGAUCAUCUCGAGGUAAUUCAGUUGACUGACUAUCUAAACUUUCGUUUUCUAUGCGUGUGAGAUUUAUAAGUUGAAUAGUAUAAUUAUUAAUACUUGGUAUGCUAAAAGUUGGCUAGAUUUGUUUUUUUGCAACAAAGAAAGAGGCAUGUGUUCAAUGUACCUUUGACUCAAUUAAAACAAUCCACAAAGCUAUAGAUAGAGUCAAAUACGCAAGUUCGACUCAAUUAAUAAUUAUUAUUUUUUUAAAUUUUUUUUUUUUUUAAUUAAAAAAUGGUUCUUAGUGAUAAUAUAUUUUAAAAAUUUAUACGAUAUUAUUUUAUACUUGGUAUGAUAUUUAAGAUUUUUUUAAAAAGAAAAUUGUGAUUUAAAAUUAUUAUUAAAUAUUUAUGUAACUAAAAGAAUUUUCAUCAGAUGAACAGAGAAAAUUUUAAAAAUAAAUUAUUUUUAAUUACAGAAAAGUUAUACUAAAAAUAAAAAUAUGUUACAUAUAUUUAAAUAGUAAAAAUAACUAUUAAUUAAAUAAUCACGAUAAUAAUUAAAUCCAAACAUGGGUCACUAAAAUUUUCAGUCAUCAAAAAGAUACUCUUGAUGUGAUAUAUGUUAUAAAACUGAAAAAUCGUCAAAAAUAUCUUUUGAAUUAUACAAAUUGAAUAGGUAUAUAAUUAAUAGUUUAAUUUUAAAAUAUGUUUAUUAUCAAUAAUUUAAUUCAGAAAUAUCCCUAUUAUUAUAUAAUGCGUAAAAAUGUAUUUUUCCUAAUAUAUAUAUAUAUAUAUAAAUUUUUCAAACACAUUUUAUUCCUGAACAAAAUACUACUUUCAAAGAAUAUUUUUCUUUUAAAAUCAUCUGAACUAAUAAAUAAAUAAUUAACUAGAAAUUAUUAUUAGAAAAAGAAUGUGUCUAAAACGAAAUGAAAUAAUAUAUUGAAUUAUUUGAGAAAAGGGUAUAUUUGACUCAUUAAAUAAUUAAAAAAAUAAUUAUUUUAAUCAAAUUAUUAGCGAAAGUGAUAUUUUUAAAAUAAAUGACAUUUUUGUUCAAUCUCACAUAGUUCAAAAGAUACUUUUUAAACUUUUUCUGUAUAAUUAGGUUCCUCACCCCAUCUCUCCAAUUAGUUAAAUAAAUGGUCACUGGAAAAAAAGAACAUCUCAUUUUACUAUAUUCAAUAACUUCUCUUAUAGUCGCAAUUAUUAUUAUAUGCGCUUACAAUAUUUUUCAGUAAUCGAAAAAAUCAUGUUUCAACAUUAAAAUCUUUGGUAGAGGCCGCCUCGCCACCAGUGGCGGAGCCAGGAUUUAAAUUGAGGGGUGUCAAAAUAUAAAGUAGUAUGCACACAAGUUGUCUAAAAAGUUAAAAAAAAAAGCUGAAAGCCUUUAAAAAAAAUAGGCUUCAGCAAGGUUCGAACUCCCAACGCCUAGGUCAAUGACAAGGGGAAACUUUGUAGCCCCUGAACCGCUGAACCAACACUUCAACUUGGUUCAGGAGUGUCAAUUCUAAUAUAUAUAGGUAUAAAAUCAGAAUUUGACUUACCUAUACAACGUAAUUUUCCGAUGAAGGGGUGUCGCUUGACACCCCUCGGGCAAGGGUAGCUCCGCCCCUGCUCGCCACAUUAUCGGACGUACCACACCUCCACAAACUCAUGUAUCAAAUGGCAAAAUAUCACAAUUAUACUAAAGUUUUUAAUGCCACGAAAGCUUUCGUUACUACCAACCUUUUCAAAUCAGAUAAUCCAUGCCCUCCUUUCUACUCGGUUACCACAUUCAUUCUUGAAGUCUCACCUGACUCUUUUCCUCAAAAUACCCCUAGACAAUCCCAUUUUCAACCCGAUUUUGAAAAUCACUAAUCUUGAUUCACCUAUAUUAGACUUAGAACUAGAACUGUUCAAAACAAACAACAACAUAUCCAAUAUAGUCUCACAAGUGGAUAAAUCCUUAUCUUGUGAAGGUACAUAAGUUGUUUUCUCGAUAAAUCCUCGACUCAAGAAUUGGUCAGAGCCAAUGAAGAUAAUAACGUCUUCGUAGUUGGCUAUGUUCUUUUUUACCCUUGCUAUUCGGGGUACUUUGACAAACCUGUUUUUUUUCUUAUUGAGAACAUGUAUGUUAGGGAGUGUUAUAGAAAGUGUGGAUUUGGGAAAAUGUUGUCAAACGUUUUAGGCUUUCUAGUGAAGGACUUGAUGCAUUUGCUACAAGUGAGGAUGCUAAUAAUUAGUUUAGAUAGAACUAUUAAAUAUUAAUUCUAAGUUGUAUGUCGAAAUCUAAAGUCAUCAAAAGAUUCAAUACAAGUGUUUCAUAUUUAAGGGGUAGUUUGUUAGGGUGUAUUUGAAAAAAAUAAUAGAUGUUUUACACUGAUAUAUUGUUCAAUAUACUUUUUCAAUUUAUGUAAUACAUGAAAAGUCAUGAUAUUAGCAAUACAAGGGAUUUAAAUGUAUGCAUUAGCAUGAAUACAAUUGCCCUCAUAACCUUUUCCAGACACAUCCUUUUUGUUAUAUUUGUGGAAGGUAUUUUUAUGAACAAAUAAGUAUUUUGUUUUAAAAAUAUGUCAUGCAUGUUAUAACAGCUUGUCAAGCUAUCUGGCUAAGGAGAGUGUUAUCAGAUCUUCAACAGGAGCAUCAGAAGGGAGCAACAUAGAUAUUUCGCAAUAAUAAAGCAACUAUCUCCAUAACAAUGAGUGUGUGAUGUAUUACAAUAUUGAUAUUUUAGGAUUAGUUAUUUAUUCUUAGCCCAUAUAUCAUUUGGACAUAUUUUGUUAUUGUUAUAUUUUCUAGUUUGUCUAAAAUUUAAAAAAUUCAGACGCAACUUUUCUUCUCGUUAUUUUUUCUGGACUUUUCUUUGCUCUAUGUCCAAUAAUAAUUUAGAGACGAAACUAAUAAUUUGCGUCCUGUUUUCAAUACUUUCUUUCAUAUAAUAAAUAUGGACAAGUUUACUAUCAAACAAAAUAACAAGUCAUUCAAAAAAAAAGUUAAAAUUGUAAAUCAAAUAUCUCCAUUGGCAACUAAAGUUGUUGUUCUCUUAUAAAUCAUCUCCAUAUUGCAUACACAAUAUACCACCAUUUUUAGCUAAAAUUAAAGUUCUUAUAUUAUGACAACUCCAAUAAUUCAACCAUCUAUUAGUGUUAAAACACUUUCUGAAUCGCCAAAUCUCAAAUCUAUUCCUUCUAAUUAUGUUAACUCUGAUAUCUAUCCCUUUGAUUUCAUUGCAUCUGAGCCACAUGAUUAUUCAAACUCCAUCCCCACCGUUGAUUUUUCGCUACUCACAUCCACUGAUCCUCAUCAACGGUCUCAAGCUAUCAACAAUCUUAAUAAAGCUUGCCAAGAUUGGGGAUUUUUCACGGUACACUAUAAUAUGUUUUUAUAUUAUUAUUAUUUUUUGGUGAGAAACUAUGAAACUAAGAAUAUUGCACAUAGUUGUUAGUACUUCUUUUGUCCUAAUUUAUGUAAAGACGUUGAGUUGAUUUCAUAAUGGUUAAUUAUUAUGUCAAAAAAUCAUGCUUCUUUUUUAUAAUCAUUUUCUUCAAAAAAAAAAUUUGAUUUUCUGAUAUAAUAAUUGUUAGUUGAUUGAUUGGGCAAGGGGAUAAUUUGAGGAUGAUACUUAUGGCUCUAAAACAAGUCAUACAUAUUUAUGUAGCUAUGACUCAUUUCAGUAAAAGUGAAAUUGAAUUAAAUUGUUACAAUAUGCUAAAUAUAAAAAAGUGUCAUUUUUUUUCUAAACAGACUAAAAAGAAAAAAGAAAAAUAUCGUAUACCUAAAUAUGUUUCAUGGUGAAGGUGGUUAACCAUGGGAUACAAGAAAGUUUGAUGAAGAAAGUGAUUGAUGGUACUCAAGAAUUUUUCAAUUUAAGAGAGGAAGAGAAGAAAGAAUUUGAAGGGAAACAUGUUUUGGAUCCUAUAAGGUAUGGGACAAGCUUCAAUACCUCUAAGGAGAAAGCUUUCUUUUGGAGGGAUUAUCUUAAGGUGUUUGUGCAUCCAAAGUUCCACUCUCCUAGCAAACCCGAUCAAUACAGGUAUACCAGGAAUCUUAAUAGCUCAGUUUGUUGAUUGUACUUACGUAUAACCAUUAUAUAUUAUUAUUAUUUUAUUUCUCUUUUUUUUUUAAUAGUGAUAUUAUGUGGGAGUAUUGUCAGAAAGUUAGACAAGUAACAAAAGUAUUACUUGGAGGAAUAUCACAAGGUUUAGGACUUGAAGAAUGUUAUUUGGAAAAAACUCUAGAGAUGAAGUCAGGAUUUCAAAUUUUUAUUGCAAAUUAUUACCCAUGUUGUCCUCAGCCAGAACUUGCACUUGGUAUGCCACCUCAUUCAGAUCAUGGCCUUUUAACUCUAAUUAUUCAAAACCAAGUUGGAGGAUUACAAGUUCAACAUCAAGGCAAAUGGAUUCAUGUCAAUGCACUACCUAACUCUCUCUUGGUCAAUACCGGCGACCAUCUCGAGGUAAUUCA